RNAcentral lists this ribosomal RNA (301 nucleotides) under uncultured bacterium. RNAcentral describes it as "partial 16S ribosomal RNA". It matches the Rfam family "Bacterial small subunit ribosomal RNA", at positions 509 to 808 of the family's 1533-position model. The record is from RNAcentral.
CAGUAGCCGCGGUAAUGCGUAGGUCCCGAGCGUUGUCCGGAUUUAUUGGGCGUAAAGCGAGCGCAGGCGGUUAGAUAAGUCUGAAGUUAAAGGCUGUGGCUUAACCAUAGUACGCUUUGGAAACUGUUUAACUUGAGUGCAAGAGGGGAGAGUGGAAUUCCAUGUGUAGCGGUGAAAUGCGUAGAUAUGUGGGGGAACACCGGUGGCGAAAGCGGCUCUCUGGCUUGUAACUGACGCUGAGGCUCGAAAGCGUGGGGAGCGAACAGGAUUAGAUACCCCUGUAGUCCCUGUCUCUUAUACA